This 471-nucleotide ribosomal RNA is filed under the name uncultured bacterium. RNAcentral's name for it is "bacterial SSU rRNA". It matches the Rfam family "Bacterial small subunit ribosomal RNA", at positions 28 to 507 of the family's 1533-position model. The record is from RNAcentral.
GAUGAACGCUGGCGGCGUGCUUAACACAUGCAAGUCGAACGAAGAUGCCGGAGUGCUUGCACUUUGGCAGACUGAGUGGCGGACGGGUGAGUAACGCGUGGGUAACCUGCCUUAUACAGGGGGAUAACAGUUGGAAACGACUGCUAAUACCGCAUAAGCGCACGGUAUCGCAUGAUACAGUGUGAAAAACUCCGGUGGUAUAAGAUGGACCCGCGUCUGAUUAGCUAGUUGGUGAGGUAACGGCCCACCAAGGCGACGAUCAGUAGCCGGCCUGAGAGGGUGAACGGCCACAUUGGGACUGAGACACGGCCCAAACUCCUACGGGAGGCAGCAGUGGGGAAUAUUGGGCAAUGGGCGCAAGCCUGACCCAGCAACGCCGCGUGAAGGAAGAAGGCUUUCGGGUUGUAAACUUCUUUUGUCAGGGACGAGUAGAAGACGGUACCUGACGAAUAAGCACCGGCUAAAUACGUG